RNAcentral lists this ribosomal RNA (492 nucleotides) under uncultured bacterium. Its description in RNAcentral is "partial 16S ribosomal RNA". It matches the Rfam family "Bacterial small subunit ribosomal RNA", at positions 29 to 507 of the family's 1533-position model. The record is from RNAcentral.
AGUGAACGCUGGCGGUAGGCCUAACACAUGUAAGUCGAACGGCAGCACAGUAAGAGCUUGCUCUUACGGGUGGCGAGUGGCGGACGGGUGAGGAAUACAUCGGAAUCUACUUUUUCGUGGGGGAUAACGUAGGGAAACUUACGCUAAUACCGCAUACGACCUACGGGUGAAAUCAGGGGAUCUUCGGACCUUGCGCGAUUGAAUGAGCCGAUGUCGGAUUAGCUAGUUGGCGGGGUAAAGGCCCACCAAGGCGACGAUCCGUAGCUGGUCUGAGAGGAUGAUCAGCCACACUGGAACUGAGACACGGUCCAGACUCCUACGGGAGGCAGCAGUGGGGAAUAUUGGACAAUGGGCGAAAGCCUGAUCCAGCCAUACCGCGUGGGUGAAGAAGGCCUUCGGGUUGUAAAGCCCUUUUGUUGGGAAAGAAAAGCAGCAGGUUAAUACCCCGCUGUUCUGACGGUACCAAAAGAAUAAGCACCGGCUAACUUCGUG